UUUAUUUAUAGCUCUUUUUAUGAAUCUGUGAAAUUUAAAUAAUAAACUAGGAUUAGAUACCCUAUUAUUUUAAAUGUUAAUUAUAUUUACCAGGGUACUAUUAGUUAAGGUCUUUAAACCCAAAGAAUUUGGCGGUAUCUCAUUCCAUUCAGAGGAACCUACCCCGNGAUUGAUAAUACACGAUUUACUCUACUUAAUUUAUUUGUUUGUAUAUCUCCGUUAUCAGAGAAUCUUUUUAGAGUUAUAAUUCUCAAGAUUUAAAUUAUAAAAUAUUUCAGGNNNAU
Molecule: ribosomal RNA, 284 nt
Filed under: Schistocerca lineata (birdwing grasshopper)
Lineage: Eukaryota; Metazoa; Arthropoda; Insecta; Orthoptera; Acrididae
Description: partial 12S ribosomal RNA
Source: RNAcentral